CAGAGAAAAGCUCUGUCACCUGUACAUGAAUUCAUAGUGUGCGGGAGGGAAACGUCGUGAACUGAAACAUCUAAGUAGCGGCAGGAAAAGAAAACAAAAGUGAUUGCGAAAGUAGUGGCGAGCGAAAUCGCAAGAGGCCAAACCAAGCAUGCUUGCAUGCUCGGGGUUGCGGACUGCAGACGUUAUUUUGCGAGGGUAGUUGAACGGUUUUGGGAAAGCCGGUCGAAGAGGGUGAAAGCCCCGUAAGCGAAACUUAAGCAAAGACAGCAGAAUCCAGAGUAGAACGGGACACGAGAAACCCUGUUUGAAGCCGGGGGGACC
RNAcentral lists this ribosomal RNA (321 nucleotides) under Vibrio parahaemolyticus. RNAcentral describes it as "partial 23S ribosomal RNA". It matches the Rfam family "Bacterial large subunit ribosomal RNA", at positions 132 to 454 of the family's 2925-position model. The record is from RNAcentral. Lineage: Bacteria; Pseudomonadati; Pseudomonadota; Gammaproteobacteria; Vibrionales; Vibrionaceae.